This 98-nucleotide small nuclear RNA is filed under the name Fukomys damarensis (Damara mole-rat). Its description in RNAcentral is "U2 spliceosomal RNA". It matches the Rfam family "U2 spliceosomal RNA". From Rfam's summary of the family: U2 is a small nuclear RNA (snRNA) component of the spliceosome (involved in pre-mRNA splicing). Complementary binding between U2 snRNA (in an area lying towards the 5' end but 3' to hairpin I) and the branchpoint sequence (BPS) of the intron results the bulging out of an unpaired adenosine, on the BPS, which initiates a nucleophilic attack at the intronic 5' splice site, thus starting the first of two transesterification reactions that mediate splicing. Lineage: Eukaryota; Metazoa; Chordata; Mammalia; Rodentia; Bathyergidae. The record is from Rfam by way of RNAcentral.
AUAUUUUAGUCUUUUGGCUAAGAUCAAGUGUAGUAUCUGUUCUUAUCAGUUUAAUAUUUUCUAUGUUGAUUUUAGCCAAUAAAAUUGUAUUAGCUUCA